ACCCCUGCGAUGCCUAGCGCAGAGCCUGGCCCGGGGCCGGGGCCCACUGAACACUCAUGCAGGCCAGUGGCAUGAGCCUCACAGGACUCAUGUGAAUAGUCUUUGUGCCCCAGGGGGCAGCGGGUACUGACUCCGGCCCGAGGGAUGGUGACUUGCAUUCUUUUUUUUAAAAUAUAUUUUAUUGAUUUUUUUUUUAUUGCUUAAAGUAUUACAAAGGGUA
Molecule: long non-coding RNA, 220 nt
Organism: Myotis lucifugus (little brown bat)
Lineage: Eukaryota; Metazoa; Chordata; Mammalia; Chiroptera; Vespertilionidae
Exons: 2
Source: RefSeq, a predicted model, not a curated record